CUGACUGCACCACCCAGGCACCCCAGGGCCAUUUACAUUUCAAACAACAGUUAUGAGCCUUUUAGUCUCUUGGAAUCUUAGAGUGCUUUCCUGUCAAGUGACUGGCCAUAUCCAGGUGGCACAUGAUCUCCUAAGGAUGACAGUUGGUAAACUCUGAUACUUGGUGCCAUUUUUAAGCAAAGUAGCAUAAGCUGUAAUUAGCUGGUAGUUUAUGCCACGGCCAGGUGUUUUCUUGGCCCCCAACCUCCUCCUGAUUUGUCCCGAGGCCCCUUGCUUAGAAAACAUAGUCUGGAAAUAGGACCUCAGAGGCCCUGGUUCUCUUCCCACCACCCCCUCCAGUCCCUGGGACCGUGAGCUCAGAGAAGUGGCUCAUGACCAGAUAGCACUGUUGAGUGCUGUGCACACACCCAUGAGGCUGGCAUGGUGGUGCUGUGCUUUGAAGAAGGACGGGGGUUCUCUAUACAGUCGAUUUGGUUCCCGCCAUUGCUCUCCAUCCUAAUAAAGUAAUCUCCUGCCGGUGGACCAUGCAGAAUGCUGACAGGAGCAAACUGGAUGCCUCAUCUGGGAAGCUGACAAAUUAAUAAUCUUCAAAUUGGCUCAUAUUCUUUGAGGCUCAACAAAGGAGAAUUACUGCAACUCUGAAGCUUAAACAUUCUUUCCCGGUAUUUUCCAUGAGUGCUGGUGACUUGGCUUCCUGAAGAUCCAGGGAAUGAAACGUAUUUGAGCCUUGGAAGGUGACGGCAGGACCGCUCUUGUCAGGCAUUCAAAUGAAGAAGGUUGUAUUUGAGGAAGGUGACUCUGGACACAGCAGGGCAGGCUUCUGUAGAAUGCCAAGGUCUCCCUUUGGUUUGUGGUUCAGUGCGACAUCUUAGGUGAAAUGGCAGACAAUAAACAUUUUUAAAAGGGGUGGGCUCUGUGGUUCUUAAUGGAAUUCCACAAAAUUAAAUGUGUGUAUACAAUAAAUACUCGUAUCGGUGUCUCUUUGAGAAUUGAAUUAAAGCUAUGUGGCUUCUCCCCAGAAAAAUUCACAAAUACAGGAAAUUUAUCUUACUAUUUUCAGGGAAUUUAUGGAUUCUCCAAAGCUGAAAUUUCCUAAUAAAGGGUUUUUGUUAAUGCACGGGCAAAAACCCUGGGUCUCAUGUCCCUUUCUUUGCUAAGAUUCUCGUUGUGUUUUUCUCACUUAAAAAGAAACUGCAAGUCAAAUUUUAUUAUAGUCAAUAUUCGACCAUAAAUAUUUCUUUAUAAUCACCACUCCCUGAAAUUUCUCAGCUCAUUUUGUCAAGACUGUACCCAAUGAUAAAAAGGUCUGGUAUAGAAAAGCGGUUUCGUGUCAUUAUUAUAGUUCAUAGGAGCAGGGUUUGAUAUAUAAUAACAGGAAAAUUAUUAUGUGGACGUGCAUUAAUUUAUUUCGAAGCUUAACUCCAAUACGAGUAAAUGUUUUUUUCAUUCCUCACUGGUACAGGGUGGAGAUAUACUUUUUUCUCUCAAUUUGUUUUUCCACAUCUAUUUAGGGCAACCAAAAUAGGAAAGCUACCACACAGGUCCUCACAUUCAUUUCCUCCACCCAUUUGCUGUGCUCUGUCCCAGGUCUGAUGAAUAUAACUUUUUAAACAUGUCAUUUAUUUUUAUUUUUAUUUUAGCCUAACUGUCCCUUCAGAAACGCCAAGGGAAAAUAUUUUUAGCUUAACUAACAAAACAAACAUGUUUAAACAAGUAACACCCAAAGCAUUUAGGUAGAAUUGGUGUUUUUGGUGUUCCGCUGUUUUAAUGGUGAGCCAGUAAGAUACAAGCAGCAACAGAAUUUUUUCUCGAUCCCUAGGUGUAUGACUUUCUUUCGGAAAUAAAAACAAAGAGAAGAACUGAUAAUGACUUUUACGUGGGAACUAAACUUUCUGUUGUUUUGAAAGGUGUUUGUACGCUAGAUGACAUGCUGCCUUUUUUCCCUCCGUUUGUAAUCACUAUUUAUAAA
Canis lupus familiaris (dog) is the source of this 1969-nucleotide long non-coding RNA. RefSeq lists it as uncharacterized. The transcript has 3 exons. Lineage: Eukaryota; Metazoa; Chordata; Mammalia; Carnivora; Canidae. The record is from RefSeq and is a predicted model, not a curated record.